GACGAACGCUGGCGGCGUGCCUAAUACAUGCAAGUCGAGCGAAGUUUUUCUGUUGCUUGCUCCGGAAAAACUUAGCGGCGAACGUGUGAGUAACACGUAAAGAACCUGCCUCAUAGACUGGGACAACUAUUGGAAACGAUAGCUAAUACCGGAUAAUAGCAUUAACUGCAUGGUUGAUGUUUAAAAGUUGGUUUUGCUAACACUAUGAGAUGGCUUUGCGGUGCAUUAGCUAGUUGGUGGGGUAAAGGCCUACCAAGGCGACGAUGCAUAGCCGACCUGAGAGGGUGAUCGGCCACACUGGGACUGAGCCACGGCCCAGACUCCUACGGAAGGCAGCAGUAGGGAAUCUUCCGCAAUGGGCGAAAGCCUGACGGAGCAACGCCGCGUGAGUGAAGAAGGAUUUCGGUUCGUAAAGCUCUGUUGUUAGGGAAGAAUGAUUGUGUAGUAACGAUACACAGUAGAGACGGUACCUAACCAGAAAGCCACGGCUAACUACGUG
This 499-nucleotide ribosomal RNA is filed under the name uncultured bacterium. RNAcentral describes it as "partial 16S ribosomal RNA". It matches the Rfam family "Bacterial small subunit ribosomal RNA", at positions 28 to 507 of the family's 1533-position model. The record is from RNAcentral.